CAAUAGCGUAUAUUAAAGUUGUUGCGGUAAAAAAGCUCGUAGUUGGAUUUCUGUUGAGAGCGACCGGUCCAUACCAUGUAUGCGUAUCUGGCUUGCUCUCGGCAUCCUCUCGAUAGACGUUGCUGCGCUUGAUUGCGUGGCGCGGAUCUCGGGACUUUUACUUUGAGGAAAUUAGAGUGUUCACGGCAGGCUUUCGCCAGAAUACAUUAGCAUGGAAUAAUACUAUAGGAUCUUGGUUCUAUUUUGUUGGUUUCUAGAAUUGAGAUAAUGAUUAAUAGGGACAAUUGGGGGCAUUCGUAUCAACACGUCAGAGGUGGAAUUCUUGGAUUGUGUUGCGACGAACUACUGCGAAAGCAUUUGCCAAGGAUGUUUUCAUUG
This 378-nucleotide ribosomal RNA is filed under the name uncultured eukaryote. RNAcentral's name for it is "partial 18S ribosomal RNA". It matches the Rfam family "Eukaryotic small subunit ribosomal RNA", at positions 592 to 975 of the family's 1831-position model. The record is from RNAcentral.